This 448-nucleotide ribosomal RNA is filed under the name uncultured bacterium. Its description in RNAcentral is "bacterial SSU rRNA". It matches the Rfam family "Bacterial small subunit ribosomal RNA", at positions 329 to 794 of the family's 1533-position model. The record is from RNAcentral.
UGCCAGACUCCUACGGGAGGCAGCAGUGGGGAAUAUUGCACAAUGGGGGAAACCCUGAUGCAGCGACGCCGCGUGAGCGAUGAAGUAUUUCGGUAUGUAAAGCUCUAUCAGCAGGGAAGAAAAUGACGGUACCUGACUAAGAAGCCCCGGCUAACUACGUGCCAGCAGCCGCGGUAAUACGUAGGGGGCAAGCGUUAUCCGGAUUUACUGGGUGUAAAGGGAGCGUAGACGGCAUGGCAAGUCAGAUGUGAAAGCCCGGGGCUCAACCCCGGGACUGCAUUUGAAACUGUCAGGCUGGAGUGCAGGAGAGGUAAGUGGAAUUCCUAGUGUAGCGGUGAAAUGCGUAGAUAUUAGGAGGAACACCAGUGGCGAAGGCGGCUUACUGGACUGUAACUGACGUUGAGGCUCGAAAGCGUGGGGAGCAAACAGGAUUAGAUACCCCAGUACC